GACGAACGCUGGCGGCGUGCUUAACACAUGCAAGUCGAACGAAGAGCGAUGGAAGCUUGCUUCUAUCAAUCUUAGUGGCGAACGGGUGAGUAACGCGUAAUCAACCUGCCCUUCAGAGGGGGACAACAGUUGGAAACGACUGCUAAUACCGCAUACGAUCUAAUCUCGGCAUCGAGGAUGGAUGAAAGGUGGCCUCUAUGUAUAAGCUAUCACUGAAGGAGGGGAUUGCGUCUGAUUAGCUAGUUGGAGGGGUAACGGCCCACCAAGGCGAUGAUCAGUAGCCGGUCUGAGAGGAUGAACGGCCACAUUGGGACUGAGACACGGCCCAGACUCCUACGGGAGGCAGCAGUGGGGAAUCUUCCGCAAUGGACGAAAGUCUGACGGAGCAACGCCGCGUGAGUGAUGACGGCCUUCGGGUUGUAAAGCUCUGUUAAUCGGGACGAAAGGCCUUCUUGCGAAUAGUGAGAAGGAUUGACGGUACCGGAAUAGAAAGCCACGGCUAACUACGUGCCAGCAGCCGCGGUAAUACGUAGGUGGCAAGCGUUGUCCGGAAUUAUUGGGCGUAAAGCGCGCGCAGGCGGAUAGGUCAGUCUGUCUUAAAAG
Molecule: ribosomal RNA, 603 nt
Filed under: uncultured Veillonella sp.
Lineage: Bacteria; Bacillati; Bacillota; Negativicutes; Veillonellales; Veillonellaceae
Description: bacterial SSU rRNA
Rfam family: Bacterial small subunit ribosomal RNA
Source: RNAcentral